This 491-nucleotide ribosomal RNA is filed under the name uncultured bacterium. Its description in RNAcentral is "partial 16S ribosomal RNA". It matches the Rfam family "Bacterial small subunit ribosomal RNA", at positions 29 to 507 of the family's 1533-position model. The record is from RNAcentral.
GUGAACGCUGGCGGUAGGCCUAACACAUGCCAGUCGAACGGCAGCACAGUAAGAGCUUGCUCUUACGGGUGGCGAGUGGCGGACGGGUGAGGAAUACAUCGGAAUCUACUUUUUCGUGGGGGAUAACGUAGGGAAACUUACGCUAAUACCGCAUACGACCUACGGGUGAAAGCAGGGGAUCUUCGGACCUUGCGCGAUUGAAUGAGCCGAUGUCGGAUUAGCUAGUUGGCGGGGUAAAGGCCCACCAAGGCGACGAUCCGUAGCUGGUCUGAGAGGAUGAUCAGCCACACUGGAACUGAGACACGGUCCAGACUCCUACGGGAGACAGCAGUGGGGAAUAUUGGACAAUGGGCGCAAGCCUGAUCCAGCCAUACCGCGUGGGUGAAGAAGGCCUUCGGGUUGUAAAGCCCUUUUGUUGGGAAAGAAAAGCAGCAGGUUAAUACCCCGCUGUUCUGACGGUACCCAAAGAAUAAGCACCGGCUAACUUCGUG